UCAAGAGCUACGAGAAGCUGA
RNAcentral lists this non-coding RNA (21 nucleotides) under Arabidopsis thaliana (thale cress). The record is from RNAcentral. Lineage: Eukaryota; Viridiplantae; Streptophyta; Magnoliopsida; Brassicales; Brassicaceae.